This is a non-coding RNA of Physcomitrium patens, 3352 nucleotides long. The record is from RefSeq and is a predicted model, not a curated record. NCBI's taxonomy places the organism in Eukaryota, Viridiplantae, Streptophyta, Bryopsida, Funariales, Funariaceae.
CAAAAAAUAAAAAAUAGGAAUCAUAUGGCAUCUGGCACAAUACUACUUUACUCCAAGGUUCUACUAUCUGGUACCACUUUACUCAUUCCCCUAUUCUCGAAUGCCUAUUGUGAUAUUUCUCCAAUCCUUAAAUAUUCUACCUUCCUGGCCCAUUCUCGAACUCCGCCUCCGUUUUCUGUGGCUGCACUAUCAGUGCUAGCUUUUGCAGAGUACCGACACUGGUUUCUGAGCACCGGAUGUGUCCAAAGUGCCCUUAACGACUGGCGUCACUGUUGCUGAGAUGGUGUUGAGUGGCUGGCAGCAAGUGGAUUGCUCCCGCAGAAGCUGACCACUAGACCCGGAGCUGGACUGGGCUGGAACCUGAUCGAAGCCUUGCGGUGCAGUGCUGAGUGUGCGCCUGGAGCGCCCCGAAAGAAUCGGAGCUACGAUCUAGAAGCUCUGGUUUGGGAGGUGCACCUGGACCAGGUCGAUCCGACAUAGACGCACUUGGGAGUCAAACCCUUGGACAACGCCACCUGCGGAGCUCCCCGAUUAGAUCGCUUACUAUUUAAGAGGGUGAGUGGGAGGGAAAGGACUGAUGGCCGUCGGUGAAUGCUUCAAACCCGCGUUAGCCUCCCUGGAGCUUUGGGGCUCUCUGUCAGGAAAUUCCAGUGCCCUGCACAAUAAUGCGGCAACGUGCCUUGAUUUCUUGCUCGCCGUGCACGUGGACGUUGCUGCCUCGCCAUUUUUAUAAGCCUUAUAAGGUGCUUUCCAGCCUUCCUGGUUAUGAGAUCAAAGGCGCACACCUAGAUCGUGAAGUCGAGUACAGGAAAAUGAUGAUGUUUGUAUGAUGGAGUUCGUGUCGGUUCAAAGACAAAGCCCCUUCAUUGACGCAAUCAGCUUGCCUCUCAUCUAGGAAACCAACACUAUGGUGAAGAUUCUCGUUGGAUGUGGGUUUCGACGCUCCUGUCAUUCAUUCGGCGUGGCGGUUCCUGUCCUAGUGAUCUCGACUUGCGCGUCACUUCGGUCAGGGUGAGUCCAUGGGCUCUCACCACCACCAUCUCCACCCUCCAUUCGACGCCUCAAGGAAAGCUCGAUCACCUCCAGUGCCUCCCCGAACCCACAAUCCAGCUCUUCCUUUUCAUUCCCUUUUUUCUGCUUACAUGCAUGUUACGUUUUCAAGUCUACAUUGUAGCUCUCCUUGGUUUGAACACAGAUUUCAUAUCAUAUGUACGUGAAGGUCUUGAACUGCAGCUCUUGCACCAAUUAACAGAGACGGUUGAGUUCAGUAUUCUUCUCAAAAAUCUUUGUCCACUUCAUUCUCAAAGUUUGUUCUCAAAAUGAUGUCUUGAUUUAUGACUCUGAUAAUUCUAUGUUUUUUUUUUCACUUUCAUUUUCUGUUCAACUCUGAAAUGUGAACAUGCUUAAUGUGCUGUUAUUUUCCAGGGUCAAAUCCACUCCCUUCUUCGGUUCUGGUUGAACUUAUCUUAAAAUAUUAGAUUGACAACUGCACUUCAUUGCAAUAUCUCAACCCGCUCAUAUCAGUUUCCAACCGGAUCGACCGGUACCCGUGAUUCGACGGGUACCGUUAGAUUCCGCUCCACUAAAGUCAAAGUUGAAGGGCUGAGAUAGCGAAAGGUCGUCGGGGAGAGUAACUCCAUUGACUCCGACGAAGAACGACCUAAUUUUGGGGGUUGCUCCUGAGAGAGUAAAUACUUGAGGCCCUGCAAAUUCCUUCCCAUACUCAUCUCCCAUCUCAUCUCGUCGUCGUUGUCGUCGUCACUUUUGUUCGUCACCUUGAACCCUGAAGCACCCGUGACAACCAGUGGCCACUAAGCGAUAUCAUCCACAAGAUCCAACUCUCUCUUACGAGGCCCCCCGGUAUUGCGUUUCGUGUCGCGUCGUGUGUCGGUGCGCGGCCCCUUCCAGAUGCGUUUGUACUCAAUAUGUUACGCAAGGUCGAAGGUCACGUCUGAAACGUUCUUUUCGCUAUUUUUCGCAAUCCUCUUUUCAUUGCGUAUCCUCUACCAGUCGUUUUCCAGUAGACGUCGAUGAUAUUUCAGACAAGGGGGGGGGGGAGGGGGGCAAAUGUGUUCAGUCGACAAUCAUGAUUCCAGUGUGCCUUUUUCCUACUCCUCUUACCUUGUCUUCUUCUUAGGUCUGCAUGCUUGUGAUGCUUUUGAGGAGCUUGUUACUUUGCAUCCGUUUGUUACUUCUCCGAUUCCGGCGAUUCGGAGCUUGCGGUGUACUUCAGUAGCGGUGAUUUUCUUGACACUUCAGAGUGAUGAUUGGAAGGCUCUGAGAGGAUCGUUGCGUGUCCAGUGGGAUGUAGAGAAAUGACGAUGCUGGAGAAAAAUAUAGUUGGUAGAAGGUCCGUGUGUUUAGUCGCCUGUCCUCCACUACAAUUCGCCGCGGAUUACUUGCUCUGAUUCCGAUUUUGGUCUAGUUAAGACAUUCUUGUUCAAGAGGAAUGAGCGUUUGCUUCUUUGCAAGCGACAUGGAUUCCAAUUUUGGAGGCAAAGGGAGGAGUAGAAGGGAGGGCUUAACUCGACAUCUGAAAGCAUUGGUUGCAUGCUGUGUUCUUCAACCUGACGGUGUUCUGCAGCAAUGCACACCUUCUGAUGACGUUGCUGCGGACACUCGGUUCAAGUAGGAUCACUGUUACCAACGCCGGUCUGUGUCACAGUAAACCCUCUCUCUAUUCCUGUCUUUGCCUUACAAACAUGUACCUGGGACGACGAGUUUUAGCCACGUGCGGAGAGUUACGGAAUGCAAAGAUCACGUCAGGUACGCAUUCUCAAGUCAAAAGACUAACACGGCCACUUGGCAGUGGUUCUAUCCCAGCAAUCAAGUGCUUCUGCCUGGAUAGAUCGGAGCUGUUGCGAAUAUACAUUUUAUUCUCUUAUCUAGAAUAGCAGCUGUUUCUUGUUAUGGAAUUUGUUUCUGCAUUCUAACAGAGGUUCUGACAUAUUGGUUAUUUCAAAUCUGGAGAUUCAGAACAUCAAUCGUGUUGAAUUACCAUGUUUAGGGAAUAGCUCAAAGAAUUUCGAGGGCAUUCUAUGAUGAGUUUAAUUUUCCUUCCGCUGCAAAUCGAUAGAGGUCGACACCAACAAAUCUCUAGAACCUCUCGAGUAUUUUGCUGUUGCGCCAUCCUUAAUCCUUGACGCAAUUCGUGGGACGUUAGAGACUUUGAAUCCCACUGCCGUUGUGGAUUGAAGUAAGAACCCUGUUAGAUAACAUACAAUGAAGGCUUGGUAAAGGGGUCUAGUGGAAGAAAGAAUAUUUCACUAUUUGUAUUUCCUUACAUGAUGGCAAGUCAAGCCCUGACGGCGUCAUGAGUUUCAUGCGAAGAUUGUCACAUUAUUUUACUACA